Molecule: long non-coding RNA, 854 nt
Organism: Rosa rugosa (rugosa rose)
Lineage: Eukaryota; Viridiplantae; Streptophyta; Magnoliopsida; Rosales; Rosaceae
Exons: 3
Source: RefSeq, a predicted model, not a curated record
AGAUGGAUAGGGAAUGGAUACUUAAGCAAGACAAAUUCAGUGAAGAGUAUAAAGAAGGGUUUAGAUCUUUUAUGGAGGUUGCAAAACAUCAUGUGAAUGAGAGGAAUGAGACAAUAUGUCCCUGCAUGGAGUGCUUGAAUAAACGUUGGUAGCCUCUUCAUGCUACUAAUGCUCAAAACAGAGAUCAACAGGAAAGUACCCAUCGGGGUGGUGCACCAUUUAUUCAGCAUGCUUUGCAAGCAGCAAAGGAAGGUGGUAAGCCUGUAUCAUUUAUAGACAAUUAUGAAAACAUGUAUCAGGAUGCAGAGCAUAAGUGGGUUAGUGAGGCUAAACGAGUGAGACAUGAGAAAAUGAAGCAGAAGAGGGAAGAUGUCAAGGCAAAGUUCAUUGAAGAGGCACCAGAAGGUACUCUUAUUGAAUCAAUAGAAGUGGCUUUGAAUGACGAGAUUGCAAUUAUGGUUUAGGAGUGUGGGAGAAAAGGUGGCAAGGUUCAAGGUUUAGGUGCUUUCCCUCGCUUGGAUAUCUCGUCUUCUUCUUCUUCUUCAAUGCCAAUAAAUUCUGAGUGGAAUGAGAUGAAAGGUAAUCUACAAAAGCUUACAUCCACUGUAAGUUGCUUGGAAUCUGAAAAUGCGAAGUUGAAAUCUAUGUUGCGAGCAAUAUUUAGCAAAUUGAAUGGGAGUGACGACAUUAAUUGUGUUGCUGAUGAUAGCUCUGCUCAAGAAACUGAUGGUAUUGAAGGAAUUGAUGACUUCUCUAAUGACUAGCUUGGUAUGGAGGGUUAGAAUGCCUUGGGUUUCAUGAAAUAUUUAGGAAUUAUCUUUCUCAUAUGUAGUUAAGGAACUACUUAGUCCUGA